CUUGCAGCUAGAGAAAAAUGAACAGACAGGGCUCCAUACACAUAACUGUAUGCCAGAUUGCAUCAGUAUAGAGUAUCCUGUACAGGAUUACGGAGUAAAACUGCAGGGGGAAAUUACAAAAAGCAACAGUCCACUAGUGAGAAAGUAUGGUAUAAAAAAUCACACACUUUUUCAUGUGUACUAUGGGAAUUUCAUGGCCACUAAAUACAGAAAGAAUGUUGUUGACAGACUAACUAUAUUGCUGGGUUUCAGUGGUGGCUUACUGAGUCUGUUCACUGGCUUUAGUUUCAUGGCGGGUUUUGAGGUAAUUUACAUCUUCACAUUGCAACUUAUGUACGUAGGUCAUCCACCUGACACGAAAGAUAACAGGACUGCUCCUUUCCAAUGUAGAAGAAACUUAAACAAGAAAUAAAUGGAAACAACAAAGUAAAGACAACUGCAGCUGGACAUCAAAUUUGUUAAUCUUUGUACUUUGAUCCAUAUAUUGUUAUUUUUAAAAAAGUGGUUUGAAGUAUUAAUAUCCAGAAACUAAAAAUUUUUACAACAUUAUAAACAACAGUUCCACUUAAAUAUUAAAACAUUUUCUGACUGGGAGCUGUUAAAAAUUGUGUCACAAAAGUAGCUUCUUUAUUAUUAUUAUUUUUUUGGCACAGUAGAUUGUUUGAUGUGAAUAUGUUUAAAACUAAACAAUAGACAUAAAAUUGAUAGUCACUACAAUUGCUACAUUAUGUUCAUUUUCAUGUAAGCUAGAUUUAUCUACAAUCAAGUGAGUGACUCAAAUAUAACCACUGCCCCCUUGUCUAGGCUAUUUAGGUAGGAGGCAAAAAUGGAAAGUUAACAUUAUUGAAAAUGAGUCCCUGUCUGACAAACACUUUUAACCUAUCACGGCUCAUUAAGCUAGGAAAUUUCUGUUACUCAAUAAGAAAAUAUCAUUAUUGAUAAUUUUUAUUUUUUGUGUAUAUGUUUCAUAUAACUAUACGGUAAUGGCAGAACAGUCUAUGGGUGUACUGUCCUGUCAUCAAAUAAACUGAGAGAAGCUAAGAAAUCAUAUAUAAGCUGACUAUGAAUGUCAAUCAUCUUGUGCCGAGUAGAAAGACCUGUCAGGUGAUCAAACUUGAACUGUCAGUCAGUUUUAAUGACACAACUUGUACCAUCAUACUCGGAAAUUUAUUUCUAUGUUGUCAAGUUGGAAAAUGACCCAUACAUACACUUUUCCAUCCUCAAUCUCUGCUAACCCCUGUUUUGCAGCCACAUAAUUUUCAGUCCCUAUCUGCCAAAUCCAACCCAUUUCUUAGCUCUGUUCCGAUAGUUUUUACAUAUGUGGACCCUGUUUUCUCAAUGGUCUUCUCCCAAAAUGCUCCCCCUUCUCUCUCCCCCUCAUACUCUGUAUUUCCAUAUGCAACUACUUCUGCUUGCAUGAGAGUGACAAUCCUCUAACUGUCCUUCGAACCCUUUCCCUUGCUGGUCAUCUCUCCCCUCAGUCUCCUCCUCCUCUUUGUCUCACUUCUUCUGUGUUCAUCCCACAUGCGUCAUCCAAAGCAAUAUUCACUUCACACAGGCAGCAGCAUUACACAUUUAAGUUUUUAUAAUUCUGUGAUCUGAUGUUAUUAUGAAAAAGGUUGUUCUUCCUCCUGUAUAAAUUUAAGAGGCAACUGAAUCUCACACUGUUUGGUUCAGAAACAGUAACCCAUGGACAUAAUUUUUACCCAAAAUAUCAUUCACCUCACUCAUACAUUUCUAGUUGUGCACAAUUGAUAUAUUUUUUCAAAUGGCUUCUUGGAGCCCCUCUACUGCUGGCCUGUUCUGUCAUAAAAUUUGCAUGGUAUUUCUACAGAAUUCAUGCAAUAUUGUUUGACGAUCAUCAGCAGGUUGAGACCAUCUCUAAAUACGUACAUUAACAUGUGCCAAGAAAGAGUGAUUUGACAACUGUUGUUAUUUCACAUUAAAUAUCACUCUCUUGCAAUCAUUAUGAAUCAUUAUAAGUAACCACUGAUCUUCACAAAAUUGCCAAUAUAAAAUUAUUUGCAAGCAGAUCUUUUGGGCUGCCUAGGUUGAAGACAACCUCAGCAUCAAUGCACCAAGGUAUAAGACUUUUCCCUGGUAACUCAAUGUUGUUUUGUAUGGUAAUCAGGCAGUCUCCUUUUAUAUCACUGUAAUUUCUUUCUUGAUUAAUGUAUAAAUAAGAGAUGAACAUAAGAAAAAAUCCUCCCCAAACCUCCUAGAUUAGCACUUUGACAUCUGCUCAGUCUCAACAAAAUCAUCAAGUUUCCUUACCCAUACCUGUUGACCAUUAGUUUACCUCUAACAUGCCAUAUUUCAGGAAACCUAACACGAAAACAUAAGUACCACUGCGCUGUAAUCACACUACACUGAAGAGGCAAAGAAACUGGUACACCUGCCUAAUAUUGUGUAGGGCGCCCGUGAGCAUGCAGAAGAGCUGCAACGAGAUAUGGCAUGGACUCAACUAAUGUCUGACAUAGUGCUGGAGGGAACUGACACCAUGAAUCCUGUAGGGCUGUCCAUAAAUCCAUAAGCAUAUGAGGGGAUGGGGGUCUCUUCUGAACAGCACGUUGCAAGACAUCCAAGAUAUACUCAAUAACUUUCAUGUCUGGAGUGUUAGGUGGCCAGCAGAAGUGUUUAAAAUCAGAAGAGUGUUCCUGGAGCCACUCUGUAGCAAUUCUAGAUGUGUGAGGUGUUGCAUUGUCCAGCUAGAAUUGCUCAAGUCCAUCGGAAUGCACAAUGGACAAGAAUGGAUACAGGUGAUCAGACAGGAUGCUUACGUAUGUGUCACCUGUCAGAGUAGUAUCUAGACAUAUUGUGGGUUCCAUGUCACUCCAAUUGCACAUGCCCCACAUCAUUACAGAGCCUCCAUCAGCUUGAACGGAUCCCUGCUGACACGUAAGGUUGAUGGACUCAUGAGGUUGUCUCCAUAUCCAUACACAUCCAUCCACUCGAUACAAUUUGAAAGGAGACUCAUCUGACCAGGCAACAUAUUUCCAGUCAUCAACAGUCCAAUGUCGGUGUUGACAGGCUGAGGCGAGGUGUAAAGCUUUGUAUCGUGCAGUCGUCAAGAAUACACGAGUGGGCCUUCAGCUCCAAAAGCCCAUAUUGAUAAUGUUUCAUCAAAUGGUUCACACACUGGCACUUGUUGAUGGCCCAGCACAGAAAUCUGCAGCAAUAUGCGAAAGGGUUGCACUUCUGUCACACUGAACGAUUCCCUUCAGUCGUCAUUGGUCCUGUUCUUGCAGGAUCUUUUUCCAGCCGCAGUGAUGUCAGAGAUUUGAUGUUUUACCAGAUUCCUGAUAUUCACAGUAUACUCAUGAAAUGAUUGUAUGAGAAAAUCCCCACUUCAUUGCUACCUCAGAGAUGCUGUUUGCUUUUUGCGCCAACUAUAACGCCAUGUUCACACACCUACUUGGAGAUUCAUAAGUAUUUAUUUACAGUUCAUUAAAUUUUGAUAACCUGCCAUUGUAGCAGCAGUAACCAAUCUAACAACUGUGCCAGACACUUGUUGUCCUAUACAGGUGUUGCCGACCGCCGCAUCGUAUUCUGCCUGUUUUCAUAUCUCUGUAUUUGAAUAUGCAUGCCUAUACCAGUUUCUUUACCUGUACUUCUCCUGUUUUCAGUAGUUGUAGAUGACUAAACUGCCCUUAUUUUUGGAUUUAGCUUUUUUUGUGAUCUUUUUUCAUAUUCCUGUGAAUCCAAAACUAACUAGUAUGUUACUGUCUGCUAUCUUUCAAUAAUUAGUCUCGUGAUAAUUCUCUCUCGUCAUCCAUUAAGUUUUAAUUUAUUUAUUUCUUUUUCCAUGAAAUGUAUAUGUCUAACUUACAUUUCAAUGAAAGUAUUCCCAUCCCUACAUUAUUUUUCCUCUGAGUUGAAAAAUUGGUAAUCAUUUUCUACUUUUCAAAAUUAUAUAACUAUUAUGUUAUUUACUGUCUGUUUGGUUUGGUACUGCAAAUAUUUAUGUGCAAUUAUCUGAAAGACUGCAUUAUCUUAUUAGUCUUACAUUUGGAACAAAAGGAAAUACUGUUUGAAAAAGGCACCAGAUGGGCACACACAAGCUCAUUACUGAAUGGAAAGACUGUAGCAAAUGAAGAUGUUCCCACAAUGUGCGAGCAAUGAACACAUAAGGAGAGAAAAGACAAUCCAUGGUUGGCAUUGCACAUUUAUGCAAAACAUGGUGAAACAUUUUUAACUAAUAUUCACAACAAAGUUAUGUUUUGUGACUGAAUAGAAAUUUGUUUCAAAUGUAAAAACUUCUAUACAAAUAUGGGGAGAAAGGAGAUACAUUGUAGCAAAUUUUAUAUGAAAACAGUAAUGGUUUCUGUGUGUGAAUGUGUGCACUUUUGUUAGAAAAGGAGUUAGCGCUCAAAAGCUAGUGUGAAUGCUGUUUUCUGUUAUGUGUUUCUGUGCUCCAUGCAUCGAUCCACUGUAGUGGUUGCCUUUCCUUAUUUUACUUAUAUGAGAAUACACCAAUUUCGAAGUGAUGAUACAAAAUAAUAAGAUAUAAUUAUUUAUUAUAAAAUACAGCUUUUU
Molecule: long non-coding RNA, 4536 nt
Organism: Schistocerca serialis cubense
Lineage: Eukaryota; Metazoa; Arthropoda; Insecta; Orthoptera; Acrididae
Exons: 3
Source: RefSeq, a predicted model, not a curated record